Molecule: ribosomal RNA, 106 nt
Filed under: uncultured bacterium
Lineage: Bacteria
Description: partial 16S ribosomal RNA
Rfam family: Bacterial small subunit ribosomal RNA
Source: RNAcentral
CCUUGUACACACCGCCCGUCACACCAUGGGAGUCGACUGCUCCAGAAGUGGCCGUGCCAACCCGCAAGGGAGGCAGGUCCCCAAGGAGGGGUCGGUAACUGGGGUG